CCUACGGGUGGCAGCAGUGAGGAAUAUUGGUCAAUGGGCGGAAGCCUGAACCAGCCAAGUAGCGUGCAGGAUGACGGCCCUACGGGUUGUAAACUGCUUUUAUACGGGAAUAACGCGCCUUACGUGUAGCGCUUUGCAUGUACCGUAUGAAUACGGACCGGAUAAUUCCGUGCCAGCAGCCGCGGUAAUACGGAAGGUCCGGGCGUUAUCCGGAUUUAUUGGGUUUAAAGGGUGCGUAGUCCGCAUGUCAAGCGUGCUGUGAAAUGUCCGGGCUCAACCCGGGCCUUGCAGCGCGAACUGGCGUGCUGGAGUCCGCGGAAAGCAGGCGGAAUUCGUCGUGUAGCGGUGAAAUGCUUAGAUAUGACGAAGAACCCCGAUUGCGAAGGCAGCUUGCUGCAGCGGAACUGACGCUGAUGCUCGAAAGCGCGGGUAUCGAACAGGAUUAGAUACCCGUGUAGUC
Molecule: ribosomal RNA, 460 nt
Filed under: uncultured bacterium
Lineage: Bacteria
Description: partial 16S ribosomal RNA
Rfam family: Bacterial small subunit ribosomal RNA
Source: RNAcentral